AUACUACUAACUACUUUGAAACCUGACUACCUGUCCCAGUCUGGUUUUGCUGUAGGGAGGGGAGCACACCUUUUACUUGGCAAAGAGUACAAUUAGUUACCUACAAAGUCCAAUAAUUACAAUUAGAUUGUACUUCAAGGGGCAUAAAUUGAACAAUCUAAAAUUGCUUUAAAAGCCAUCUGUCGGAAUUAUCUAUAUGAAUAUUUAAAGCCCCCAUUAGGGCGAUUUGAGGAGACGUUGCUGUAAAGGUAGUUAUUAAAUUCACUGGUGAAAAUUGAUGCUCGACAGAGAGGGUUUAGUUUCAUGCUCUCGAAAGAAAUCUGUCAUCUAUCUAUCGUUGUAUCUGUAUGUAUGUAAAAAGAAUGAAUGUUUGUUCGUUAAAAAAAAGAUUCUAAUACAAGACGCCAUGUCCAAGAAGCUUGCCUUUGCCGACUUUAAUCACAACAAAGGAUAAAAGCUCCAAUUUGCCCCAUCGUCAUGAUGCGUUUGCCCGGCUUAAGACUUCGUGGUGAUUUACUGUGAUUGUUUGGGAAAUAAUUUGCGCAUGCACUCACCAUACACAAUGUGAUAGUUGCUCUGUUUCACUCCUGUCUCCUGUCUUGCCAUGGUUCACUCGGCCUGGACUCGGAUGCCUGCCUGCCUGCCUGCCUGCCUGUGUGUGUUCAUGUCCCGCACCACCACCGCCGCCACCUCCACCUCUCUGUCACGCCCCAUCCGAAGGCUACGACAAAUCUCAGAGCUUAAACAACAUAGCUGCUAACGCCCUGAGGUUGUCCCCCGUCACCUCGCCCUACGGAUCGCCCUGCCCUCUACGGCGCUCCCGUUCCCCAAUUCCCUCCAUCCUGUGAGACGUCCAGCGUCGCCAGCCUUUUUUUUUUUUGCAUUACCCGCUCCAUACCCUACAAUCACAAAGUGAACUUUGUGCUAGAUAUCGUGGCUAGUAUUACACACCUGUAGCGAAGACUGAUCCACUGAUGACUGCCUGAGUGUGCUUGGCUAUCAUCCUUGUCAGCUCUCCUGUGCCACUUGAAGUUUCCUUUUUCUUUAUUUGAUAUUGUCAUAUUGCAAUAAAAAAAAAAACUGACUGGUGGCUUUCAAAGUAGCAGCCAUAAGAUUUAAUAAUAAAAGACAUGUUGGUAAUCAGGGUUAUUAGAUGUUGUUUUAUUUCGAUACCUAGAGAGAAAAGAUGCGCUUCCAUAAAAACCAGAAAGACAGACAGCUGUUUAUUCAUUUUAUCCUCAUUUAAUUGUGUUUUCCUUGAGAUUUGUCAUUCAAACAAGCGCGCACAUCUGUCCCUGUUCACCUGCUCAUGUUUUUGCAUGGACUCCACUCUGUAAGCCAUUGUUGUCUGCCAGCCACGUUGCCAGGGGAGACCACACCAGGCACACUGUGAAAAUACAUAUAUAUGCGGCCAUGUGAAAAAAGGAAGUACUUGUACACCCGCUUUUAGUUCGGUUUUAUGUGUCAGGACCUGUAUAGCAAACUUCAGUGCACUAUUUGGCUUCAAUCUGCAGAGGCGCUGUUGAGUCAGCCUUAACAAAUGCGGUCCAAAGAAAAAUGACAUGAUAUCAACUAUGGGAAGUUGAGCUACAUCCAUGAUUAUGAAUGUUGUGCUCAAUAAACAGGCAUCCAAACACGAGUUCAGAACAUUACGAUUCUCAAGUAACAUGAAGAUAUUCAUGAAAUAGCAUUUUAUCGAGUGAAUAUCACUUGUAAUAUUACAACUUUAUUCCUUAAACUUUUUUCUUGCACACCUUUCAAAAAUUGGAUGAUUACAUUUGCUCGUCAUAUCACAACUUUAUUUUUCGGACAAUGUGACUUUUUUCUUUUUUUGUUAGAAAUUCUCUUAUGUUAGCACAAAUGUAUCAAUUUUCCUUGUCCUAAAAUUUCAUUUUGGAAAUAUGAUGACUUUUGUUUUUUUUUUUUUUUUUUUUUGCAGAAUAUGACAAAUUCUCAUAAUAUUAUGACUUUCUAUGACUUUUCAUAUUAUCACAACUUGAUAUCAAAACUUUUGUCUUGUAAUAUCAGUCGUACUUUUUGACUUCAUCUUUGUAAGGUUCCAAUUUUUUCCCCAGCUAUCAUCGGGCAGAAGGAGGGGUACGCCCUGAACUGGUUGCCAGCCAAUCGCAGUUUUUCCCCCUCAUAAUUAAAAAAAAAAAGUAAUUCCCUUGUGGACCGAAUACUGGAAAAAAAAUAAUACUAAUAAUAACGUCGCUUCACAUUAGUCAUAGUGAAAGCUAUCCAUCUGUGUUAUUACAGAAAAGUAAUUGCUCAUCUGACAUUGUAUUUAUUGAAUUUUCAGAGCUGAUGUCUAAAACCGUGACAGAGGGUCCUCUUUCAUUUCCACAUGACUGCACAUAUGUGCACGUAUAAGUUGUAUGUAUGUUUCUGGUUGUUGACUCUUAGAUAACUGCAAAGAGAUGGUGUUUACUGGUUUCACACAAGCAGAGAGUGGCGUUCUCGCUUAAAGGCUUUGGGAACGCGGCGCCCUGGCAGAAAGGUAACCCCUCUGCAUGGGUCUGUGGGUUCAAUGCAGGAAUCCCCUCAGCUGUUCGGUCCCAGUGUUUUUGGUUUUGGUUGGAUGCACUCAAAGAUGGAGGUCAUUCAAUAAUCUACGAGACGACAGAACAGAUUGGGUUUGCGGGGCUUUAGUUGGUUUUAUGAAAUAUGUGGGGGAAGUAUAUUGAAAUAACAUUGUUGUGAAUUGACAAUAUAUCAUGGAAACAUUAAAAACGUUGCUACAAAUACGGAUUAACGGGGUGGCUGAAGAUCCUGUAGUCACAUGCAAUUUGAUUUGUAUUUUUAUAUACAAUAUAUGGAACUAGAGUGGGCCAUCUCCAUUUUGUCAUUUUUAAAAAUGUUGACAAGAUUUAUCUCCAGUUUUGACAUAAUGGGGGCAGUGCAUUAUUGCACUGAGCGCUUUUCUUGAUUCAUCAAUACAACACUGGGCCAACUCCAAGGCUGCAACUCUAGGAAAAACAUCCCAAAAUGUGAGGCUCAGAAAUUAUUUCGUUAAAUUUUUUUUUUCAGGAGGUAAUGACAUUUUUUUUCUUGUAACAUUGCGACUUUUUCACAAUUUCUUUCUCCCAACAUGGUGAUUUUCUCUCUCUCGUAGAUCACAAAUUCAUCCUUGUAACACGACGACAUGUCUAGUCUGUCUUUGUGGUAUUUUCUCAGAAAAGCUGCAUUUUUUUCUUAUGAUAAAACACCCUAUUUCUAAGUCUAGGGUUUAAUUGAAUAAAAUCAGGAUUUUGUGUUUUUCUCCUAACUUUACAACUUCUCAUAUUCUGACUUUUUCCUUUGUGGCCUUAAUACUUUUUUGUAGGUAUAACCCUCAAUUUAAACAAAGAGGGAUUAUUAUUAUCAUUAUUAUUAUUAUUAUUUUAAUACAGUCUGCAUAAAUUGCCUGUGUGAUCCAACAGGUGUGCAGACUGCACACGUGGACCUCACCCUUUCCUCCAUUAUGUCCAUCCCAGUAGCAAAGGGUUGCUUAGCAACUGGCUUGCAGAUGAUGCAUUUUGCGCAUAGAAUUGCCCCCCAAAAAAAAAAGAAAAUCAAAGAAAAAUAAAAAAAGAGUGCUCUUAAAAACAUUUCUCCUUGUCUGUUGACUAAAUUAUUGAUUACUUCCAUCUAAAACACAACAAUAGUAGCACACCAUGUUGUUUCAUCCUUGUGCAUGUAUUUGGAAUAAAUAGAACGUGCAUGGCAAGAGGUUCGAGGGAGACAGGAUGAGAAGGAUUUGAUAUAGUUAAUUUGAUUCAGUAGCACACCCGGGAUGAGACUAUAUAACAAUAUUAGGACCUGUUGCAGUGGGAAGACCCCAUUUGGAGGCCUCCCAGCCACUCCUACAGGACAAUAAAGGAGGGAGCCGACGCAAAAACCGCUAGGAGACGGCUGCUCGGCCCGUGGCUGAAGGAACUUCACCGAUAACCCAGAAGGACCGCGAGAAGCAUUUAAUCCUGAGCAAAACAGCCAAAGCAAACAGGACACGUGCUGGAAUAGACUUCUGUAAAUAAGUCACCGACAGCAGCACGGUCGUCGCCGUUGGUUGCUAAGUUGCACCGUGAGACACUCAAAUCUCGCUAUGGUACCCCCCCCCCCCCCCCCCCCCCCUCCUUGCAAUAAGUGUAUUAAGUCGAGGCACUUUGUGUUCUGAAAUGGAGUGUAUUCAUAUUAUGAACAUCCAGUAUAUACAGCACAGAGAGACAAGUGUGCUAAGUUGAAUCAAUGUGACAUCUCUGCUUCUGUUACUCUUGGUAAAUUUCAGUAUAGGUUAAAAUGCUCUGCCGUGUGUUACUGUAUGUGCGUAUCCUAUCAAGAAACCUUUUCAAAGGUCGAGUAGGUGGACGUUUUAUGUCGUCACUUUCUGGUAGGGCCCGACCGAUUAAUCGGCUGCUCUAAGCCCUUUUGAAAUGAGCAUAAAUCGGCCGAUUAUUUUGUUGAUUUUUCCCUCUUUUUUUGAAAAAUGACAUUCAAACAAACAGAACAAAAAUUGACAAAAAUAAGCAGCCGAUGAUUUUUGCCGAUUUUUCUCUCUGUUUUAAAAUAAAACAAGUACUUCAGGACAAAGUAUUGAAAAACUGUCAAACAUUUUGCCUGUAAUUCAUAUAUGUUAUUGUUGUAAGCAUUCAGGGAGCAAAAAGAUUUAAAUUUGUUUUAAUUGGCCGAUUAAUCGGUUAUCAGAAAAAAAAAUCGAUAUCGGUCGGGCCUUACUUUCUAGUUUAGCACAGAAACGGGUGAGAAAGGGAACUCCCCCCAGCCACCCCCCCCCAUAAUGCAAUCGCCCAUGUAGAAGUCUCCCACUGUGCGUUGAACAUGCAACGAGCCUGCGUUAGUGCUGCAAAUCUUCACCUGAAACCAAAUGAUUACGACCAGAUGAAUCCUCAUGACUCAGUGGUGGUAAAAUCAACGGAAUCUUCCAAAUAUAUCUAAUCCUGUACCCCGCUCCUUUAAUUUCUGGGUCUGGAGAAAAUGUGUAGCAGACGUUUACCAAGUUUAAAAAAAACAAAAAACAAAAAAAAAAAAAAGUGAGACUUUUCUCGAAUGGCUACUUUUGCACAGUAGCAAUUCCAUGUACAAAAAAUAAUCAGAUCUGCUUCGUGGGAAAGGUGUAUUAGGGUCACACUUAAAAGGAGAAAGAAAAUGAUAACGUUACAAGAAUAAUGUUUCACAAUUAUGAUGAGAAUAUUUCACCAAAAAUUCUGAAUCUAACGCAAAUAGUAAUAUAACAACACAAACGUCGAGAACACAAGAAAAGUUAUUUUACUUUAUUUCAGUAAGAUUAUUCCCUUUUUCCCCUCUAAAAAUAUGCCGUUAUUCUUGUAUGAUUGUGAUUGUAAGAAUAACAGAAAUUUUUUUUCUUGUAAGAUCGCACCUUAGUCUUGGGGAAAAGAAAAAAGUAAUAAUGCACGUUUGUUCUGAAAAUAUGACGAAGAGUAUGACUUUUAUCUCAUCAAAUAUUAUGGAUUUAUUCUUGUAAGAUCCCCAGUAUUUUUUUUUUUUUUUUAAAGAUAAGGACUGUUUUUAACCCUCUUAAAAUUAUGACUGUAUCCUCUCGUGUUUAUGAUUUUUCUCAAAAAAAAGAGAGAAAACCUUGUAGUUAUAAGAUUACACCUUAUUCCUCAAUAAAAUGUAAGAGUGAAAUCUUUUUUUAAAUGACUUCAUUUUUUUAUCAAGAAAAAAAGAUAUUAAUUGUAAGAUUCCCUCUGGUUUUUUUUUCAAGAAUUAAGAAACUUUAGGAUUUUUUAAGAUUAUAAUUUUUUCUUGAAAAAAAUGCAAGAUGCACAUUGUUUUCUGAUAUUUAUUCAAUUCAACGUUAUCCAAGACUAUGAUUUUUUUUUUUUUAAGUAUUAAGUAGUAUUCUGACUUUUUCCACAUCAAUUUAAAACUUUAUUCUCAGCUUUAUUUUAGUUUCUUUUCUUUUUUCUUUUUUCAGUGUGGCCCUAACUCUCCUUGGUAGAUUUGCAAUAAUCGGAGAAACAGAAAGCGCCAAUCCACACUGUGAUUUUUAGUCAAAAACAUGAGGGUUGAUGGGAAAAAACUGAGAAGAUUGACGGCGAGGACUGUCAUGUGGCAUUGUUGAUGUGUCGCCCUCUACCCACAAUCCUCCUUGUGUAGUACACACGCUGCUUUACUCUUGAAUUUGACCAAGGAGUACCGUUCUUUGUGUAUUUUUAAGAUGAUGUCGUAACUUGGAGAAAAAAAAAAAAAAGCUGUUUAUUUUUCUGAAUCCCGAACUUGUAUUUUUGUGUCUUACUGUUCAUGGUAGUCCGAUGCUGUACUUCUCCAUCGUGUCUUCAAACGUGUCGAGCUUUUUGAUCCGAGUUCACGUUUUGUAUGUUUUAUCGUGAGCAAAAAAAAAAAAAAAAUCUAGUUUGAAGUCUGUAUUUGUGGAGCCUUUGUUGGAAUUCUGAAGUGCAUGCUUAAAAAAGAAGAAGAAGAAAAAAGAGAACCGUUAUGUCAAAGAAUUAAAAAAAAAGAUGACACUGUAUAUCAUGUUGGGAACAAUGUGUAUAAAGUUGAAUACUAUGUGAAAGAUUCACAUAAACUAUUUAUCUUUUAACAAACGGUUCCUUGUUUUAUUUCAUAUAUAAAAAUGUGACACUUGGGGUUUCGUGAACUGAAAAGUGACGUCAUAUGAAGCCUGAGACGAUUCCAUGUGAAAGCGUUUUAAAAAUUUUAUAAAUUCUCUGUGAAUUUACAGGUAAGCGUCCCAAGCAUGCAAACACAAACAAAUGCAUGUGAAUCGCAAAAGUAUUUGUCAAAGUGUGGUACUAGUACCACGAGUGAUACACAGGCUAUAUAAAAUUCCUCUAAAAUUGCAGUUGCAGUCCUGUUACCUAUAUAAAUUUGUUUAAUUCAGUACAUUUACAACCUAAAUUCUAAUACUUGUUCCAUGAAAUUGUAGUCAUUUACUUCCAACAGUCUAUUCUUUUUAUUUCAUACUGGUUCUCUUUUUUGGUCCAAUCAGAUUUCAGUCUCCAUGUGUUGCCAUGUCAAAUGUCGAAUCUGCCCAGUACUGCUGGGUGAUGUACCUUAAACUGUAUUAACAAUGGGUCUGUUUCUUUAAUCAAUCAGAUUUUAGGUUCUUGCUCACGGGGUCAGCUCGCUGGUCCACGAUGAUGUCAGCAUUUUUCCGUCCUCUGAUUGGUUGGUCAGAGAAAUUCGAGUUUGACCAGCAAAAACCUGUCUGUAGUGAUCUGUACGCGUGCAUAUAUUUAAUAAUCAGCAUCUCUGGUGAGUAUGAUGCAUUUUUACUUUAAUAAAAAUGUUUUUGUCAUGUUGUUAGCUCAAUAUUGUUUCUGAACUGCUCAAAAUAAUGAACGUGGCACAAUUGCUUGCCGUUAUUGAUUGAUUUUAUUUUUUAUUUUUGUAUAGAACUGCUGCUAACUUACGAACAAACUGCGCAAAGCAGGCGGAGGAGCUGAUUAAAGUGAAUGUAAUGUGGUCGAGAGAUCAUAGACUGGCUGCACCCAGCGGCGUCUUCAGGAGCCAGUCGAGCCAACGUGAGGCUGUAGCAUCAGGCGUCGCCAGCGACACUCCCGUUGGUGGACUAAAUUGAGCCCG
Molecule: RNA transcript, 7566 nt
Organism: Phyllopteryx taeniolatus (common seadragon)
Lineage: Eukaryota; Metazoa; Chordata; Actinopteri; Syngnathiformes; Syngnathidae
Gene: kcnc2
Gene name: potassium voltage-gated channel, Shaw-related subfamily, member 2
Exons: 2
Source: RefSeq, a predicted model, not a curated record